Zophobas morio is the source of this 330-nucleotide long non-coding RNA. RefSeq lists it as uncharacterized. The record is from RefSeq and is a predicted model, not a curated record. The transcript has 3 exons. Lineage: Eukaryota; Metazoa; Arthropoda; Insecta; Coleoptera; Tenebrionidae.
CACGAUAAGAUUUAUAAAGUGUAAGUAGCCUCUGAAUGGGAAAUAUUGAUCAUGCUAACUUUUCACGAGGAAGUAGACAUCGGACUUUUCAUUUUUGACACUAAACUACAAACUUAUUACUAUCCUUGCCCUUGCGGUGAUCAAUUUGAGAUAACUUUGGAAGAACUUUUAGAUGGAGAAGAUUGUGCUUACUGCCCUAGUUGUUCUCUUGUAAUACGCGUAAUACUCCCAGAGGAUUACGUAUUUCCUAGGGAACAGGAAUUUGGUAAAUCGCCUAUAGUUACUUAACUUAAAAGUUAAACAAGGUUUAUAUAUACAAUUAUAGUUUAG